This 69-nucleotide transfer RNA is filed under the name Paroedura masobe. Its description in RNAcentral is "tRNA-Ser". It matches the Rfam family "tRNA". From Rfam's summary of the family: Transfer RNA (tRNA) molecules are approximately 80 nucleotides in length. Their secondary structure includes four short double-helical elements and three loops (D, anti-codon, and T loops). Further hydrogen bonds mediate the characteristic L-shaped molecular structure. tRNAs have two regions of fundamental functional importance: the anti-codon, which is responsible for specific mRNA codon recognition, and the 3' end, to which the tRNAs corresponding amino acid is attached (by aminoacyl-tRNA synthetases). tRNAs cope with the degeneracy of the genetic code in two manners: having more than one tRNA (with a specific anti-codon) for a particular amino acid; and 'wobble' base-pairing, i.e. permitting non-standard base-pairing at the 3rd anti-codon position. The record is from RNAcentral. Lineage: Eukaryota; Metazoa; Chordata; Lepidosauria; Squamata; Gekkonidae.
GAGAGAUAAGUAUUUAGUGUACGACUAAUUUGAAAUUAGUGUGUGGUGGUUCGACUCCCCCAUCUCUUG